Ornithorhynchus anatinus (platypus) is the source of this 74-nucleotide non-coding RNA. The record is from Rfam. NCBI's taxonomy places the organism in Eukaryota, Metazoa, Chordata, Mammalia, Monotremata, Ornithorhynchidae.
UGGUGUGAGCAGGUCACGUGUGGUGCAGCGUGAUAGUGGAAUAUGCUGCAUCGCGUGUGACCUCCCUACACCGC